RNAcentral lists this long non-coding RNA (323 nucleotides) under Marmota monax (woodchuck). The record is from RNAcentral. Lineage: Eukaryota; Metazoa; Chordata; Mammalia; Rodentia; Sciuridae.
GCUGACCCAUGGAUAAUUGUUUAUUGAUCUACGUAUAAAACAUUUUAUAAUCAAAGAUUUUGUAAGAUUUACUAUUGUAAGCAAAACCAUUGAAGUUUUUAUUUUCCCCAAAAGUCAAAUAAUGUUGCUACUACUUUUUGUCUUCAAAGAAGAUGAUGAUGAAUAAUAUAUAGCACGUUCAUUGCAUAGGUCCUAUCCUUGCAAUCUAGACUGAUGCACACAGCCUGCAUACUUCACUGUUUUCACGCAAGGAAGAGCCAAGUUGGGAGUUCCAGGUCUCUCCCUCAUCACGUCCUUUUCUUUCUUGGAGGACUGUGUUUGCU